UACGUAGGGGGCAAGCGUUGUCCGGAUUCAUUGGGCGUAAAGAGCGUGUAGGCGGCCAGGUAGGUCGGUUGUGAGAACUGGAGGCUCAACCUUCAGAGGUCGACCGAAACCAUCUGGCUAGAGUCCGGGAGAGGAGAGUGGAAUUCCUGGUGUAGCGGUGAAAUGCGCAGAUAUCAGGAAGAACACCCGUGGCGAAAGCGGCUCUCUGGAACGGUACUGACGCUGAGACGCGAAGGCGUGGGGAGCGAACAGG
Molecule: ribosomal RNA, 253 nt
Filed under: uncultured bacterium
Lineage: Bacteria
Description: partial 16S ribosomal RNA
Rfam family: Bacterial small subunit ribosomal RNA
Source: RNAcentral